UCAAGACCCAGUAACAGAACCUGCGAGCGAGAGCUAGGUGAAGGACCGGUCCUUUAGCUCUAGGGAAGCUCUGCCUACUUCUGAGAAAGCGAUGCCACAUGUGGGGUCCCGCAGCCCGUCGGUCAUUGCCUUCUCCAGCUGCUGGAAACAGCUAACCGGAGGGUGCACCCCGCGUUCAGGUGGCAGUGUUGAAGCCAAAAGCUUCCAGAAGUGGUUUCUGUAAAAAAAGUUGAAUGUAUAUGAGUGAGCAAGCAAACACAGGAAUCCAAAAAUCUACAGGUAUGUAGGUCAAUUAAUCCAUCUAUCUGUCUUUAUAAAUAUUUCAUUCCAAUAGUGCUAACCCAUUUGCUUUUAUGCUAAAUAUUUUGACAUUUCUAUAGUCUUUCUUGAAGUGAAACAUAUUUCAAGGUGCUGUCAGAGUUAAAAAUAAGACUAAUUAUUUCAGUGCAUUUAAAUAAAAAUAUGCAGCAUGCCAGAUUAUCCCAGUUCAUUGUUCUAAAAGAGAAGUGUUGUUUUUCCAUUGUGUCCACAUGGUAUAUUUUAAGGAAUGAUCUGAUCUAUUUAAAACAUUUAUCUGCCAGCUGCUCCAAAAUUUUUUUUAAUUUACAUUUCUGACUUGCCUUGUCGAGGCAAUAUAAAAACUGCUGCUGUUAAUUUUAUACCACAUUGAUCAGAAUACAGCUGCGUCACAACGCUUCCUUGCACUUCCCAUUCCGUGCCUCUGCCUCCCAAGUGCUGACAUUAUAGGUGUGUGCAACCUCUCCUGGUUUAUGCUGAGGCUUUGUGUGUGCUAGGCAAGGGCUCUACCAGUUAACCUGGCCCAAGUAGUUUCUUUCACACUAGCCUUUCUGUGUUUAGAACCUUCUCAUUGCUUUGCAGUUACUAUCUGGCUGCUUUUCCAGCCCGGCAGUUCAGCCCUUUGACUAAAGUACAGGCAUGUUAUAUGCAAUGCAAAGGCAAUCAAGUUUGCAAAUUGUAACAGCAAAAGGAUUUGACUCUGAUUAUUAUUACAGCCCGUGACAGAUCAAGCCUGGUGCACUUCAGAAGAGUUUGUGCCUGAUCUAUUCAAUAUUCAUCUCAACUCCAUCGUGAAGGAAUGAAAUGCAGAUAACUCGUUAGAAAACUUUUGUGGAAAGAAGUGACUUAUGCGAGCAGAACAAAGGCGUUUUAUAAUCAGAUUUACCAAGCUGAGAAGAGGGAGUUUCAGCAAACGGAAGCUCCCGGCAUUCUGUUACCAGGAAACACUGCAUUUUCCAGAAUUGGAUCACCAUGGAAGUGGGAAGCAUAGGCCUUGAAGGAAGCCAUACUAUAAUACAAAAUCAGUAUGUAAAAAAUUGGGAGAGAUAAGUACCAACAUACGGAGUAAUGAGUAAAAGUCAACCUCCAUGAGGUUGUGCUCACCCUUUAUCCAGUGUUGACCAGCCAUGAGAAGAACAUCUUGAACCAAUUAUUGUAAGUUCUUGAAGAGCUGCAAAUAUUUCCUUCAAAUGCAAUGUGGAGAGAAUUCCUUUGGUAGCAGCAGGAUGGCUUACCAGUUUGGUAUAGUAUUUAUUCCUCUCCCUCUAAGGAUGACUGCGGAGGCUUCGGUGUUCUUAUGAGACACAUGCUUUCCAACCAACUGUUCAUUUGGCAUUUCCUAGCUUUUGUCUUUUUUUUCCUAUGGAAUAAAUAGGAGCAUUUUAUCAAGCAGUCAUAAGUAUUUUAUCUUUUAACAUUCUUUAAAAAGAGACUUUAAGAGGUGUUUAUUGAAUGAAUUGGCAGGAUGAGAAUCUCGGAAACACUGUUUCAGAGCAAGACUGUUUAGACUAAUAUGUCCCAUAGAUUUAAUUAUGCACUAUUGCAUUUUCCAUGCCUGAAGGUAUUUUCUAUUCCACAAUGGUUUUAGCAAUUUAUUUUGUUACUCAUACCUCAAGAACUAGUGAAGAAAAAUUUUAGUUGAAGGUUAUCCCUUACUUAAUAAAGAGAAACCUACCAAUUCUUCUAAAGUCCAAAAGGUUCUGACAAAUAAAGAAAAAGUUCAUAUCACAAACUGAUGGCAAGUCCUAACCUGAGCUUACAUGAGGCCACUUGUAGUCUUUAUUUAGCUCACUAAGUCUGUAUGCUUUAUCAGAGAAAUAUUCACAUACUUGAUUCUGGAAUAGAGUACCAGACCUCUC
Rattus rattus (black rat) is the source of this 2156-nucleotide long non-coding RNA. RefSeq lists it as uncharacterized. The transcript has 5 exons. Lineage: Eukaryota; Metazoa; Chordata; Mammalia; Rodentia; Muridae. The record is from RefSeq and is a predicted model, not a curated record.